Peromyscus leucopus (white-footed mouse) is the source of this 3154-nucleotide long non-coding RNA. RefSeq lists it as uncharacterized. The record is from RefSeq and is a predicted model, not a curated record. The transcript has 3 exons. Lineage: Eukaryota; Metazoa; Chordata; Mammalia; Rodentia; Cricetidae.
UCCUGUUUUCUUUUGAAAAUUGCAAGGUGUGGCCAUCCGUCUGUGCCAGUAAUUUGCAGAAUGUGAACAGCUGUUGAUGUUUCUUGGGGGAAAAUGGUCUGUGCUAUUACUCUUUCUACUUGGCCUCUAUAAAUAUUCAUACUUUUAACCUCAGUCUUAAGUAAAGUAACAACUUAUUGCUAAGAAUUAUUACUAUGUAUUGAGUUCUUUGCAUAGUAGAUAGCACGUUGAGGACUUCACAUACACAUGCUUUGUCUCCACAAAGGCUCCAUGAGAUAUUUAUACUAUCAUUCCUAUUCCACAGAUGCCAAAGCAGAGGCUUUGAUGAGCUGAGAGCUGUCCGGAGCCACAGACUUACACACACAUAAUAAAAGGCAGUUUCCUCCACUGUGGAAACCAUGUGAUUCUCAGACUUGGUAGACUCCCUCCAUGGAGAUGGUAUCCGUGAGUAUGACCUUAAAAAUCCUUUCAGCACUUACUCACAUUUGGGGUUGAAGCUUGUGUUCCCAGGUGUCUCUGGGACUUAGCCUCUUGUAUGUCCGUAAGUGCUCACCCAGUGGGAAAUGUGAGUCCGGACAAGGUCAGGCUUUAUGUAAUUCUCCUCCUCCUGUCCCCAGUCUCUCCUCCCUCCCCCUCCUGACCUCUCUGCUCCUGCUGCAGGCAGUGACAUUACCUCCAGCUUCCACUCGACUAUGUGGCCAUAAUGACCUCAUCUCUGGCUCUUCUUGCCUGCCUGUGGAUGUAAGGAUGCUUUGAUCUGUGGAUGCUUUGAGCUGUGUUUAUACUUGCUCCAUGACCCUGGCUUCAGAUCUCUGCCUCCCAUCUAUUCUAUCCCAAAUCUACUCGCUGGGUCAUGGAUAUAUUCCUCCGAAAGCGCUCAUUAGAUCACAUUAUUGUAUAGACUUCACUGACUCUCUAAAUGCAAACACAGGCAGCCAGUGCUCAUGGGCACAGCCUUCAGAACUCUGUGAUGCUGGGAAGCUUCUCUCAACAUGGUUAACUUGUAAUUCCCCUUUACGGCUCUAGACCUUCAGCCAGUCAGAACUGCGUCGCCAGGUCUCAAAUGCUCCCUGUGCUUUUUACGUCUCAACACCAGUCCUUGGUCCUUUGCAAUGCUCUGUGCCUCAGCCUUUCUUAGGAAACGUCACUCCAGUGUUUGAGGUGAGUCUCAAGUGUUGUCUCAAAGGAGACUUCCCUGAACAAAAUCCUCUCCCUGUCUUGUCGCCUUCACCCCCAUUCUCAGCCAGAGAGGCAAACCUUCACCAUUUGACAAGCAUGUAUCAGACAUUCCUCAUCAUGCGUUUUUGUCCAGCAUAAUGGUAAUCCUAAGUGUUUACAACAUGGCAAGUGUUGCCUUAAUGCUAUCAGGUGGUGAUGCAUGCAAUGUGGAAAAUAUAGAGUAGCAGAUUCUGAUUGACAUGGUGAUAAUAAACAUGUGAGGAAUGUCCAUACCCACCUGGACUUGUGACUGGGGGAAGCCUGUGCCACCGAUGUUCAGACCAGCGAGCUCCACCUAGAAGCAAAAGUUCACCCACAGCUCUGGCGGGUCUGUUAACUCCUCCUGCGUGCUUGGUUAGACACUAUGGCUGCAUGACCUCUUUGUCGAGCUCUCCCUAAAGGAAAUGCAGCCAGGAAAAGAAGCUGCCUCCGGGACCUGUAGAUUCGAGGACAGUCAUGUCUGCAGUGACAGGCUCUGUCCCGUUAUGGGCAGAGAAGCGAACCACAGGUGAGGCCGGGCAACCAUGCUGAUUAUAAUCGAGGCUGCUAAGAGGUGAUGCUCUGUCUGUAGCGCCACUCCGGAGAGUGCAAGUUCUACCUAGCAGUCACCGAGAUGCCAGUGGUGACAACCACCCUGAAGAACAAGGACAGACACUCUGAGCUUUAUGUGUUGUGUACUUUUUUGAUCUGAUACCCACAGGGCCAGAGAAGGUCUUUUCCUAUGGGCACGCCAAUGAAGCCAUUAUUAACAAUCCGGGCUGAAGACAUGGAAAUUCAGGAAGCUGCCAAACAGGCAGGUGGAGACACAGCAGGCUGGUCCACCCCGCAAAGGGGUUCUGGGAUGGAGAUGUGCGUUACGAUUCUUUCUGCAACAGUCCUGUGGAGCUCGACUUCCGAGUCCUCGGAAAAAGAAAGGAAUGGAUCUGCCCAAGCUGUGCUCUGUAGGAGUGUGGUGUUGGGGGUGUUUGCCAAGUAUUCUAGAGGUCACUUGAAGUAAAAUCUCUCUCCUUUCCCCAGGGCACUGCCAUUCCAAUGCCUCAAAGACAAUCUUGUCUGGGAUAAAGAUGGAGCCAAGAUUAGGCUGUGCCCUGUUGACUUCCCAGGCUCGGUCCAGGAGUGGCUCUCUCCAUUCUCACCCACCAAGUUAAAUGAACAGCAUGUCCUUAGCCACAUUUAAAAAGGGAUAUGGGAGAAAACUUGCUAAAAAAAGGGCCUUAGGCAGGGUGUUUAAAAACUGAAGUUUGUUUUUCUCAGUUGCUUCCCCAAAAGGACCUGAUGGGUUCCUCGAGACCCCACUGGAACUAAUGGCCCUCGGCUUCUCAAUGGAUGCAGUGGACCACCGAGAACCACAAGAAAUUCAUAUACACAUUUAAGUAUUUAGGAAUUUAAGUAUCCCUAAAGUAUACACAUAUAAUUUAGAAUGCAAAUUUAGGGGCUUCUUGGAGUCCAUCAGUGAACCCAAAGUAUAGUCUUUUUGAGGAGACAUGUACAAAUAUAUAAAAAUGACUUCAGAUAGUAUGUGACAAAAACAGCUUUUAAUUUUAAUUCCUCAGUAUUUAUUUCAAUGUAUAUUAAAGUCAUAAUUAACACACUACACCUAGAGUUUUGCAAGUGUUUUUGCCUUGUACAAGAUUAACUGAAAAAAUGACUAAGUCGGUUUUAGAGGAACACGAAACUAUCACUACUUUAGGGGGGAUCAUUGAGGCAGCAGAUGAAGGACACUUUUGGGUGCACUGUCCUAGUUAGUGGAAGCUAAUUAAAUAAUUCCAUUGCACAAUAAGGACAUUAGUGGUUCCCAAGAGCUCCUGAUAGCCAGAGGCAGACAGAGAAAGUCGUCAGGGUGUCAAAUUCUAAACCAGAGUUUUCUAUGACACUCUUGCUAGUCUGGCUUUCUGCUUGUGAGGUUUUAAUCUCAUAGGGGAAAAACACACACAUA